UGGGAAUUUUGGACAAUGGGCGAAAGCCUGAUCCAGCAAUGCCGCGUGUGUGAAGAAGGCCUUCGGGUUGUAAAGCACUUUUGUCCGGAAAGAAAUCCUUGGCUCUAAUACAGUCGGGGGAUGACGGUACCGGAAGAAUAAGCACCGGCUAACUACGUGCCAGCAGCCGCGGUAAUACGUAGGGUGCAAGCGUUAAUCGGAAUUACUGGGCGUAAAGCGUGCGCAGGCGGUUUGCUAAGACCGAUGUGAAAUCCCCGGGCUCAACCUGGGAACUGCAUUGGUGACUGGCAGGCUAGAGUAUGGCAGAGGGGGGUAGAAUUCCACGUGUAGCAGUGAAAUGCGUAGAGAUGUGGAGGAAUACCGAUGGCGAAGGCAGCCCCCUGGGCCAAGUACUGACGCUCAUGCACGAAAA
RNAcentral lists this ribosomal RNA (412 nucleotides) under uncultured bacterium. Its description in RNAcentral is "partial 16S ribosomal RNA". It matches the Rfam family "Bacterial small subunit ribosomal RNA", at positions 356 to 759 of the family's 1533-position model. The record is from RNAcentral.